This is a long non-coding RNA of Podarcis raffonei (Aeolian wall lizard), 2636 nucleotides long. RefSeq lists it as uncharacterized. The transcript has 2 exons. The record is from RefSeq and is a predicted model, not a curated record. NCBI's taxonomy places the organism in Eukaryota, Metazoa, Chordata, Lepidosauria, Squamata, Lacertidae.
UUAGAUCAUGAGUUGGUUGGACAGAAGGAGAAGAGGAGCAGAGCAUGAGGAGGUAGUGCCUGAAUAGAAGCCAAAAGGACUGCACCACCAUUACAACUGAGUGGAUCAGUUCACAGGCUCCCAAGAGAGGCAGGGAUGGGGUUCAGCAAUGGAAGGAAGAUGGACCAAAGCAAGAGGCAGGUUGUCACAGCCAGAGUGCAGAACAGCAAGGAAUCAUCAUCAUCCUGUCAUGGGGGCACUGGGUUGCAUCCCCUCAUAAUUCUGCACCUGGGGCCAUGGCCACACACACACACACACACACACACACACACACACACACUAUGCCACUGCCAGGGGGAGUCUCUGUAAGUUCUGCAUUGUUUUAGCUGCUGACCUAGCUCUCAUAAAAGAAAUAAAAGUGCAUUAGACAACAGCAACUAAGGUGUGCCAUGCCAGGGAUGUGUGCAAAGUAAGGAAUGUGAUCAGUAAAAUAAAUCCAAAUGACUCAAUUUUUAGCAUAUUCAGUAUGAGAAAGCAGAAGUUGUCUCAAGCCACUAGCCACUCCAUAUCCCAAACAGAGUGGAGUUCAGUCAUGGACUUUUCAGUAGCACGGAGUCCAAAGUUCCCUGUCGAGGUGAAAUCUGGUGUCGGCAAAACUCAUCCCUGCCCUCGGGCUGCCCACCCCCUCGAGCUCUGGGCCACUGCCUCCCCAACAAGAAUCCCCUGGCAGAGUAAUGUAGGAAUUAAGGUAUCAACUGGUAGUUGCUGUGAAGAGCUCAGGGAGGGGAGCUGUGAGGAUAACAUUGAGUCCCCCGCCUCCCAAUUUCAAUCCCCCUAAAUUGCUUACUCUCCCAUUAGGCUGCCUACAAAUGUGGUUGCAAAAUUGGGGGGCCAUUUUUGCUCAGCUCUGCUUUUCAGCCUCUCUGUGAUAACAGGCUUUUAGUCCUCUGAUACAAGUAAUUCCACACAAUGGCUGGGAUCCAAACUCCUUCAGAUGCCUACAAAGAGUGUCUUUUAAGGUGCCUGUGUGUACACAGCAGCGCUUCCCACUUUCUUCUUCUUCCUGACAACAGGUCUUUGUGCCUCAUAGCAGGAUGUUUCUGAAGUUGCUUCAGUUUUGGAGGCAGCAACAUGGUUUAGUUUAAAAACUAAUGAGUCCCAUGACUUUUUUUUUUUGAGAAAGACCAUUUAAAAUGUUUGACCUCACUAAGGUUUAGAAAUCUUCUGAUGUGCAUUGGCCAUUGUGACAAAACUCCAGGAUAAUGAACUUGAUAGAAUCAACACAGGCUCAUGCCGGAUUGUCAGAAUAUGUCUGACAGAGUGCAUCAGAAGGCUGAUAAAUACACCACUCUCUGAUUGUAUGAAUGGUUGGAAUGUGUUAUACUUCCAGCUAAACUAAAUGUGAGUACAAUUAACAUGAAAGCUUUUAAAAAUGCCUAAUAGCAGCAAAGAACGAGUUCAAGCAGCAUCAGGACUACAGGAAAAGAGGAGGGAGACAUCAACUCUUCCUCUCCACUGUGAUCAUCCCGUUCAGACUUGCAAACAGCAGCAGGGGUGGCAAUUUUUCCAGACUAUGGCAGGGGAGGAAAGGGUUAAGCUCUUCUCUGCACUCUCUGAGCUCUUGAUGUUAGGACUCGCCUACAGCUGCUAUACCUUUUUUAUUUUUUAGAAAAGUAUUUAAAUUGCAUUCAUGCAAUUAAUGUCAUGCCUAGUUUAGCCCUUAAUCAAUGUUGAUCAGCUUGAGCACCUACACUAUAGCAUGGAGUCUGGAUUUCCCUUCCUGCUUUGAUUCUGGUAACAGAAUUAGGGUGGCACUGAUUUUGGGUUUAGUGGUCUGUGUUAGUCUUUGUUGCUGCAUAUUAGCAUGGAUUUCUGCGUACCAGGAAGUUGGGCUUGAAGCAGACAAUUAGUGGGCAGGAGUAGGAACAAUGGUCAAUUUAAGAAUUCUAGGAAGUUUCCAUUUAAAGGAUCACAAAGGCACUACCUUCUUCCAAGAUGGCAGGUUCCAAGGCCACUUACACUCUGGCACCAGUGCACUCCCACUGCUGGUGUUUGGAGCUGUGUAUACGCAAUAUUACCAACAAACCUGUAGCUUAUUGAGAAAUACUGCUGUUUGAUAUGUUUUCCCCUCAAAUUACCUUCCACCUGAUUAGAAAGCCACAUUCACUUCGCAGAUGACAACUUCAUAAAUAGGAGUUGGGGAGCUGCAGGUGUGGGAAAACCAAAUAAUGUGCACCAAGUGAAGACAUUUCUGCCUCAUCUCUGGUGUACAGAAAUGUGCAAAUGUGACCUGAAAUGCAGUCUGGGAAGGCGGCCGGGGUGGGGUUUGACCUCGCUGUGUUUUAAGCUGCUAAUGUGUACAUAGCCCAAGUCUCUUAAAGCCGGUGACUGAUGACUUAAUCCAAAUGGUUUGUUUCUCAAAUGCUUUUCUGAGUGUUUUUACUCCCCUGUUUCUAGCCAACGCUGCUAUGCAAAAUUGCCACAAGUUCUUUUCUUUUCCAAUACCUGAUGCGUUUGAUGUCCAUUUUCUCCCUCUGAAGAAAUCAAUGUCUGUAUCAGUAGAUGAAUGUAUUGGUUUUGCCUCUCCAAGACAAGCCUUUUCAAACAAGAUGGUAUAUUCUGUAGCCACGUCAUUUUAAUUAAAAAUAUACCAGGGA